GAUGAACGCUGGCGGCGUGCCUAAUACAUGCAAGUCGAGCGAACAGAUAAGGAGCUUGCUCCUUUGAAGUUAGCGGCGGACGGGUGAGUAACACGUGGGUAACCUACCUAUAAGACUGGGAUAACUUCGGGAAACCGGAGCUAAUACCGGAUAACAUUUAGAACCGCGUGGUUCUAAAGUGAAAGAUGGUUUUGCUAUCACUUAUAGAUGGACCCGCGCCGUAUUAGCUAGUUGGUAAGGUAACGGCUUACCAAGGCGACGAUACGUAGCCGACCUGAGAGGGUGAUCGGCCACACUGGAACUGAGACACGGUCCAGACUCCUACGGGAGGCAGCAGUAGGGAAUCUUCCGCAAUGGGCGAAAGCCUGACGGAGCAACGCCGCGUGAGUGAUGAAGGGUUUCGGCUCGUAAAACUCUGUUAUUAGGGAAGAACAAAUGUGUAAGUAACUGUGCACAUCUUGACGGUACCUAAUCAGAAAGCCACGGCUAACUACGUG
RNAcentral lists this ribosomal RNA (497 nucleotides) under uncultured bacterium. RNAcentral describes it as "partial 16S ribosomal RNA". It matches the Rfam family "Bacterial small subunit ribosomal RNA", at positions 28 to 507 of the family's 1533-position model. The record is from RNAcentral.